Molecule: ribosomal RNA, 501 nt
Filed under: uncultured bacterium
Lineage: Bacteria
Description: partial 16S ribosomal RNA
Rfam family: Bacterial small subunit ribosomal RNA
Source: RNAcentral
AUUGAACGCUGGCGGCAGGCCUAACACAUGCAAGUCGAGCGGAGAUGAGGUGCUUGCACCUUAUCUUAGCGGCGGACGGGUGAGUAAUGCUUAGGAAUCUGCCUAUUAGCGGGGGACAACAUUCCGAAAGGAAUGCUAAUACCGCAUACGUCCUACGGGAGAAAGCAGGGGAUCUUCGGACCUUGCGCUAAUAGAUGAGCCUAAGUCGGAUUAGCUAGUUGGUGGGGUAAAGGCCUACCAAGGCGACGAUCUGUAGCGGGUCUGAGAGGAUGAUCCGCCACACUGGGACUGAGACACGGCCCAGACUCCUACGGGAGGCAGCAGUGGGGAAUAUUGGACAAUGGGGGAAACCCUGAUCCAGCCACGCCGCGUGUGUGAAGAAGGCCUUAUGGUUGUAAAGCACUUUAAGCGAGGAGGAGGCUACUGAGACUAAUACUCUUGGAUAGUGGACGUUACUCGCAGAAUAAGCACCGGCUAACUCUGUGCCAGCCGCCGCAGUAA